RNAcentral lists this ribosomal RNA (221 nucleotides) under uncultured bacterium. Its description in RNAcentral is "partial 16S ribosomal RNA". It matches the Rfam family "Bacterial small subunit ribosomal RNA", at positions 110 to 334 of the family's 1533-position model. The record is from RNAcentral.
UAAAUGCUUGGGAAUCUGGCUUAUGGAGGGGGAUAACUACGGGAAACUGUAGCUAAUACCGCGUAGUAUCGAGAGAUGAAAGUGCGGGACCGCAAGGCCGCAUGCCAUGAGAUGAGCCCAAGUGGGAUUAGGUAGUUGGUGGGGUAAAGGCCUACCAAGCCUGCGAUCUCUAGCUGGUCUGAGAGGAUGGCCAGCCACACUGGAACUGAGACACGGUCCAG